RNAcentral lists this non-coding RNA (183 nucleotides) under Thermosynechococcaceae cyanobacterium MS004. RNAcentral describes it as "6S RNA". It matches the Rfam family "6S / SsrS RNA". From Rfam's summary of the family: E. coli 6S RNA was the first non coding RNA to be sequenced, but its function was unknown until recently. It consists of 184 nucleotides that fold into an extended hairpin structure with a large single-stranded internal bulge. The record is from RNAcentral. Lineage: Bacteria; Bacillati; Cyanobacteriota; Cyanophyceae; Acaryochloridales; Thermosynechococcaceae.
UCUAUUCUGCGGCGUUGGUGACUGCCAACAAGUUUAUUGAUCUAUGCUUGUUUUGUACGGGAGCCUAAUUUGCUCGGCGGCAGUAGACCAGACUUAGAUCUGGAAACUUUAAGUCGAAGCGUUGGACGCCCACCUGGUUUAGCCAGGUCACAAACUGAGGUAAAACGGCGCUGCGGGGAAGCU